Molecule: ribosomal RNA, 567 nt
Filed under: Escherichia coli
Lineage: Bacteria; Pseudomonadati; Pseudomonadota; Gammaproteobacteria; Enterobacterales; Enterobacteriaceae
Description: partial 23S ribosomal RNA
Rfam family: Bacterial large subunit ribosomal RNA
Source: RNAcentral
GGAGCAGCCCAGAGCCUGAAUCAGUGUGUGUGUUAGUGGAAGCGUCUGGAAAGGCGUGCGAUACAGGGUGACAGCCCCGUACACAAAAAUGCACAUACUGUGAGCUCGAUGAGUAGGGCGGGACACGUGGUAUCCUGUCUGAAUAUGGGGGGACCAUCCUCCAAGGCUAAAUACUCCUGACUGACCGAUAGUGAACCAGUACCGUGAGGGAAAGGCGAAAAGAACCCCGGCGAGGGGAGUGAAAAAGAACCUGAAACCGUGUACGUACAAGCAGUGGGAGCACGCUUAGGCGUGUGACUGCGUACCUUUUGUAUAAUGGGUCAGCGACUUAUAUUCUGUAGCAAGGUUAACCGAAUAGGGGAGCCGAAGGGAAACCGAGUCUUAACUGGGCGUUAAGUUGCAGGGUAUAGACCCGAAACCCGGUGAUCUAGCCAUGGGCAGGUUGAAGGUUGGGUAACACUAACUGGAGGACCGAACCGACUAAUGUUGAAAAAUUAGCGGAUGACUUGUGGCUGGGGGUGAAAGGCCAAUCAAACCGGGAGAUAGCUGGUUCUCCCCGAAAGCUAU